Molecule: transfer RNA, 74 nt
Filed under: Camelus bactrianus (Bactrian camel)
Lineage: Eukaryota; Metazoa; Chordata; Mammalia; Artiodactyla; Camelidae
Also listed under: 2 other names
Rfam family: tRNA
About the family: Transfer RNA (tRNA) molecules are approximately 80 nucleotides in length. Their secondary structure includes four short double-helical elements and three loops (D, anti-codon, and T loops). Further hydrogen bonds mediate the characteristic L-shaped molecular structure. tRNAs have two regions of fundamental functional importance: the anti-codon, which is responsible for specific mRNA codon recognition, and the 3' end, to which the tRNAs corresponding amino acid is attached (by aminoacyl-tRNA synthetases). tRNAs cope with the degeneracy of the genetic code in two manners: having more than one tRNA (with a specific anti-codon) for a particular amino acid; and 'wobble' base-pairing, i.e. permitting non-standard base-pairing at the 3rd anti-codon position.
Source: Rfam by way of RNAcentral
GAGGGUAUAGCUCAAAGUGGUAGAGCACGUGCUUAGCAUGCAUGAAGUCUUGGGUUCAAUCCCCAGUACCUCCU